GAUGAACGCUGGCGGCGUGCUUAACACAUGCAAGUCGAGCGAAGCACUUUACUUGGAUUUCUUCGGAAUGACGAGUUUUGUGACUGAGCGGCGGACGGGUGAGUAACGCGUGGGUAACCUGCCUCAUACAGGGGGAUAACAGUUAGAAAUGACUGCUAAUACCGCAUAAGACCACAGCACCGCAUGGUGCAGGGGUAAAAACUCCGGUGGUAUGAGAUGGACCCGCGUCUGAUUAGCUAGUUGGUGGGGUAACGGCCUACCAAGGCAACGAUCAGUAGCCGGCCUGAGAGGGCGACCGGCCACAUUGGGACUGAGACACGGCCCAAACUCCUACGGGAGGCAGCAGUGGGGAAUAUUGCACAAUGGGGGAAACCCUGAUGCAGCGACGCCGCGUGAAGGAAGAAGUAUUUCGGUAUGUAAACUUCUAUCAGCAGGGAAGAAAAUGACGGUACCUGACUAAGAAGCCCCGGCUAACUACGUGCCAGCCGCCGCGGUAA
RNAcentral lists this ribosomal RNA (497 nucleotides) under uncultured bacterium. RNAcentral's name for it is "partial 16S ribosomal RNA". It matches the Rfam family "Bacterial small subunit ribosomal RNA", at positions 28 to 523 of the family's 1533-position model. The record is from RNAcentral.